RNAcentral lists this ribosomal RNA (460 nucleotides) under uncultured bacterium. RNAcentral's name for it is "partial 16S ribosomal RNA". It matches the Rfam family "Bacterial small subunit ribosomal RNA", at positions 338 to 795 of the family's 1533-position model. The record is from RNAcentral.
CCUACGGGAGGCAGCAGUGAGGAAUAUUGGUCAAUGGGCGGAAGCCUGAACCAGCCAAGUCGCGUGAGGGAAUAAGGCCCUACGGGUCGUAAACCUCUUUUGCCGGGGAGCAAGGGCGGGUACGUGUCCCUGCCCGGAGAGUACCCGGAGAAAAAGCAUCGGCUAACUCCGUGCCAGCAGCCGCGGUAAUACGGAGGAUGCGAGCGUUAUCCGGAAUUAUGGGGCGUAAGGAGGGAGCAGGCGGCAGCAAAGGUCUGUGGUGAAAGAGGGAAGCUUAACUUCAGUAAGACAUAGAAACCGGGAGGCUUGAGUGCAGGAGAGGAUGGUGGAAUUCCAGGUGUAGCGGUGAAAUGCGUAGAUAUAUGGAGGAACACCAGUGGCGAAGGCGACGAGCUGGACUGCAACUGACGCUGAGGCCAGAAAGCGUGGGGAGCAAAUAGGAUUAGAUACCCCGGUAGUC